Molecule: transfer RNA, 70 nt
Filed under: Atrina pectinata
Lineage: Eukaryota; Metazoa; Mollusca; Bivalvia; Pterioida; Pinnidae
Description: tRNA-Gln
Source: RNAcentral
UGUAUGUAGGUGUAAUUUUGCGCACAGUAGAUUUUGGUUCUGACGGAGGAGGUCAUAUCUCCACAUGCAU